This 469-nucleotide ribosomal RNA is filed under the name uncultured bacterium. Its description in RNAcentral is "partial 16S ribosomal RNA". It matches the Rfam family "Bacterial small subunit ribosomal RNA", at positions 28 to 507 of the family's 1533-position model. The record is from RNAcentral.
GAUGAACGCUGGCGGCGUGCUUAACACAUGCAAGUCGAACGGUGAACACGGCGCUUGCUCUGUGGGAUCAGUGGCGAACGGAUGAGUAACAAGUGAGCAACCUGCCCCUGACUCUGGGAUAAGCGCUGGAAACGGCGUCUAAUACUGGCUAUGUGACGUGAACGCAUGGUCUGCGUUUGGAAAGAUUUUUCGGUUGGGGAUGGGCUCGCGGCCUAUCAGCUUGUUGGUGAGGUAAUGGCUCACCAAGGCGUCGACGGGUAGCCGGCCUGAGAGGGUGACCGGCCACACUGGGACUGAGACACGGCCCAGACUCCUACGGUAGGCAGCAGUGGGGAAUAUUGCACAAUGGGCGCAAGCCUGAUGCAGCAACGCCGCGUGAGGGAUGACGGCCUUCGGGUUGUAAACCUCUUUUAGCAGGGAAGAAGCGAAAGUGACGGUACCUGCAGAAAAAGCGCCGGCUAACUACGUG